CGGCCGCGGCGCGGGGACCAUGCUCCCUUCUGGCUCGCUCCUCUCCGGACCCACAGACCCCCUCACCUGUUCUGUCGUUCAGAGGAAAAGCCUGUGGUUCAGUUCCCCUCCAUCUUUCAGGCUUUGGAAACACGGAACAGGAGAGAUGGGCCAGGCCUCCCGGAGCCAGAAAUCAGGAGAGGAACACGGAUGGCCACAUCACAGCAGUCAGAAGAGAAGACUGAACAAUUUGAGGAAAGUUCAAGAACACAAAGAACACUGACAUAUUUCUGGGAGCUCAGACGGAUGGUUAAUGGACUGGAGAAGCUUUCGACUCAACUGGAGCGAUACGAUAAACAUGGAGUAAGGCACGGGGAAACUGGGAAAACCGCAUCUCCAUGUUGGUCGCCGUGUCUUCUGAUGGUGAGAAUGCCCCUCUGUUCAAACAUCCUUGAGGCUGAAGUUCGGCUGCUUUUACUCUACUGGAGUUGAAGGCUGUGUGCCUCUCAACUAAAUUCUUUCCCUUGAGAAGAAAGGAACUGAAAGAACCCAUGACCUACCCCAGACCCUCAGACAAUCCAUGACCAUCCAAUGUCUCCUCUGAUCCUGCCAUGGUCACCAUUAGACACGCCCAUUCCUCUGUGACGGUGAAGAAGAUCACACACGGAAGAACUCGGGCAAGUCCUUCAUCAGUUCUUUAGUAGUCAAGAUUGAAUUCAACAUUGAAUCUCUACAUCUGAUUGCCCUUGAAGGUCU
Molecule: long non-coding RNA, 735 nt
Filed under: Rattus norvegicus (Norway rat)
Lineage: Eukaryota; Metazoa; Chordata; Mammalia; Rodentia; Muridae
Description: long non-coding RNA NONRATT024895
Source: RNAcentral